GUCUACAGCCAUACUACCCUGAAUAAGCCCGAUCUUGUCUGAUCUCAGAAGCUAAGCAGGGUCAGGCCUGGUUAGUACUUGGAUGGGAGACCACCUAAGAAGACCAGGUAGUAGGCG
This 117-nucleotide ribosomal RNA is filed under the name Pteropus alecto (black flying fox). Lineage: Eukaryota; Metazoa; Chordata; Mammalia; Chiroptera; Pteropodidae. The record is from RNAcentral.